GUUUGCCCCAUUAGAGGCAGUAACACAUGCGACAAUAUAUAAUAAGGAAAUACCAUUGACUUAUAAGGAUUUGCUUGACCCUCAAGGGGAAUUGAAGACCCGAGAGGAGCUUACAAAACAGGGCAAAAAGUUUCAAGAAAAUAAAGUCCAGCUCUAACCACUGAAUCACAGGCAUCUUCUGACUAGUUACAAUAGGAGUUCUUGAUUGCAAGAUGAGAAUAAGCAAGGCAAUCUGAAAUGAACGAGUGUAAGAUGUUAAGGAAUCUGUGCUGACUAAAAACAACAACUCCAAAAUAAAGAUGUGAUUAGUCAGAAAUAUACAAAGGAAUAAACUCAUGAGUUGAAAUUA
Molecule: non-coding RNA, 349 nt
Organism: Pantherophis guttatus
Lineage: Eukaryota; Metazoa; Chordata; Lepidosauria; Squamata; Colubridae
Source: RefSeq, a predicted model, not a curated record